UACGGAGGAUCCGAGCGUUAUCCGGAUUUAUUGGGUUUAAAGGGUGCGUAGGCGGAAUAAUAAGUCAGUUGUGAAAGUUUGCGGCUCAACCGUAAAAUUGCAGUUGAUACUGUUAUUCUUGAGUGUACAUAAGGUAGGCGGAAUUCGUGGUGUAGCGGUGAAAUGCUUAGAUAUCAGGAGGAACACCUGUGGUGAAGACGGCUAUCUGGCUCGCAACUGACGCUCAGGCACGAAAGCGUGGGGAGCAAAC
Molecule: ribosomal RNA, 250 nt
Filed under: uncultured bacterium
Lineage: Bacteria
Description: partial 16S ribosomal RNA
Rfam family: Bacterial small subunit ribosomal RNA
Source: RNAcentral